RNAcentral lists this ribosomal RNA (494 nucleotides) under uncultured bacterium. RNAcentral describes it as "partial 16S ribosomal RNA". It matches the Rfam family "Bacterial small subunit ribosomal RNA", at positions 28 to 507 of the family's 1533-position model. The record is from RNAcentral.
GACGAACGCUGGCGGCGUGCUUAACACAUGCAAGUCGAACGGUGAAGCGCCUUCCUUUUUGGUGGGUGGGGAUGAGUGGCGAACGGGUGAGUAACACGUGAGUAACCUGCCCCCUUCUUCUGGAUCACCGCAUGAAAGUGUGGCUAAUACGGGAUAUUCUGGGUCUGUCGCAUGAUGGGUCUGGGAAAGAGAUUGUUUCGGUGGGGGAUGGGCUUGCGGGUUAUCAGCUUGUGGGGGGUGUGAUGGGCUACCAAGGUGGUGCGGGGUAGCCGGCCUGGGAGGGUAGACGGUCAGACAGGGUGAGAGGCACGGUUCAGACUGCUACGGGGGGCAGCCGUGGGGAGUAUGGCGCAGUGGGCGCGAGUCUGAUGCGGCGACGCCGCGUAAGGGGUGAAGGCGUGCGGGUUGUGAACCUCUUUCGCUAGUGAAGCAGGCCUGCCUCGUUUGUGGGUGGGUUGACGGUAGCUGGAUAAGAAGCGCCGGCUAACUACGUG